GAGGAGGAAGAAGGGAUAAUUUACUCAGCACUUGCCCAGUACUGUAUUUCGGGUUGACAUACAUCUCUAGAAUCUGACGCCUUCACUUUUCCCUAAUUAGCUAUCACCUGGGGUGACGACUCCGAGAAAUCCACACAACUAGAUUCUGUACCUUUUUACCGGCUGUGGGACUAACUGCAGACUGCGAGUCUUUCUCUGAAGCAUCACUUUACACGAGCCAGAAACUGUGAUUUCCACUUUGCUGCACCUCUGAGUACAGGCGGCAGGGAGGCGGUGAGGGAGUGCUUCCACAUUAAACAAUUCCACGUUGUAAUCCACACAGGACAUCUGGGCUCCAGGCAGACAAGGGAUCAGUGAACCUACCAGCUCAUGAAGGGCAGCCAGCGAGUGUGGGAAGGGGGAAAGGACACUAAAAAUCAUGACUAGGCGUUCGUAAGACUUGCCCUGACUACAGAGACAGAGGAGGAACGCGGGUUUGAAAGAGCGGUGAUGCCUGGGGCAGGAAGACAAAAAGGGAACAGGAGUCACCUAUAGCUGUAGUAUCUUGAUUACCUAAAAACAGAAGAGGGGGGUGGGGUGGAAACAGAAAAAGGAAGAAACAGCCUGAAGCACACAGCAGCCCAAGGCCUUGGCUGUCGGUUAUGGGAGGCUCCCCACCGCUUUCUGUAAGUUUGUAAUAGGAAAGAAUUAAAGUAUUUUCAAAGAAGAAAAUAUUAACGA
Molecule: long non-coding RNA, 720 nt
Organism: Prionailurus viverrinus (fishing cat)
Lineage: Eukaryota; Metazoa; Chordata; Mammalia; Carnivora; Felidae
Exons: 3
Source: RefSeq, a predicted model, not a curated record